RNAcentral lists this ribosomal RNA (232 nucleotides) under uncultured bacterium. RNAcentral's name for it is "partial 16S ribosomal RNA". It matches the Rfam family "Bacterial small subunit ribosomal RNA", at positions 118 to 351 of the family's 1533-position model. The record is from RNAcentral.
UGGGUGACCUGCCCCCAACUCUGGGAUAAGCCCGGGGAAACCGGAGCUAAUACCGGAUACGAACCACCCAGGCAUCUAGGUGGUUGGAAAGAACUUCGGUCAAGGAUGGGCUCGCGGCCUAUCAGCUUGUUGGUGCGGUAACGGCCCACCAAGGCGACGACGGGUAGCCGGCCUGAGAGGGCGACCGGCCACACUGGGACUGAGACACGGCCCAGACUCCUACGGGAGGCAG